UGGCGACCGGCGCACGGUGCGUAACGCGUAUGCAACCUACCCAUAACAGGGGGAUAACACUGAGAAAUUGGUACUAAUACCCCAUAACAUCAGGACCGGCAUCGGUUCUUGGUUGAAAACUCCGGUGGUUAUGGAUGGGCAUGCGUUGUAUUAGCUGGUUGGUGAGGUAACGGCUCACCAAGGCAACGAUACAUAGGGGGACUGAGAGGUUAACCCCCCACAUUGGUACUGAGACACGGACCAA
Molecule: ribosomal RNA, 244 nt
Filed under: uncultured bacterium
Lineage: Bacteria
Description: partial 16S ribosomal RNA
Rfam family: Bacterial small subunit ribosomal RNA
Source: RNAcentral